GACGAACGCUGGCGGCGUGCUUAACACAUGCAAGUCGAACGAUGAAGAAAAGAAUCGAAGCUUCGGCAGAAAUUCAUUUCGGAUUAGUGGCAGACGGGUGAGUAACGCGUGAGCAACCUACCUCUUACAAAGGGAUAGCCUCGGGAAACCGGGAUUAAUACCAUAUAACAUUGCGACGAAGCAUUUCGAUGCAAUCAAAGCUACGGCGGUAAGAGAUGGGCUCGCGUCCCAUUAACCGGAUGGUGAGGUAACGGCUCACCAUAGUGACGAUGGGUAACCGGCCUGAGAGGGUGAACGGUCACACUGGAACUGAGACACGGUCCAGACUCCUACGGGAGGCAGCAGUGGGGAAUAUUGUACAAUGGAGGGAACUCUGAUGCAGCGACGCCGCGUGAGUGAUGAAGGAAUUCGUUUCGUAAAACUCUGUUCUAUGGGAAGAAAAGGACUGUACCAUAGGAGAAAGCUCCGGCUAAAUACGUG
RNAcentral lists this ribosomal RNA (480 nucleotides) under uncultured bacterium. Its description in RNAcentral is "partial 16S ribosomal RNA". It matches the Rfam family "Bacterial small subunit ribosomal RNA", at positions 28 to 507 of the family's 1533-position model. The record is from RNAcentral.